UACGAAGGGGGCUAGCGUUGCUCGGAAUCACUGGGCGUAAAGCGCACGUAGGCGGCUUUCUAAGUCAGGGGUGAAAUCCUGGAGCUCAACUCCAGAACUGCCUUUGAUACUGGAGAGCUCGAGUCCGGAAGAGGUGAGUGGAACUGCGAGUGUAGAGGUGAAAUUCGUAGAUAUUCGCAAGAACACCAGUGGCGAAGGCGGCUCACUGGUCCGGUACUGACGCUGAGGUGCGAAAGCGUGGGGAGCAAACAGGGAUUAAGAAAC
RNAcentral lists this ribosomal RNA (264 nucleotides) under uncultured bacterium. RNAcentral's name for it is "partial 16S ribosomal RNA". It matches the Rfam family "Bacterial small subunit ribosomal RNA", at positions 524 to 785 of the family's 1533-position model. The record is from RNAcentral.